UUAACAGGUCUGACUGCCGCCGGAAGGCUUGUUCUUCCGGAGGAAAGUCCGGGCUCCAUAGAGAAUGAUGCCGGGUAAUUCCCGGGCGUUCCCUUAUUGGGAACGACAGAAAGUGUCACAGAAAACAAACCGCCUUCUGCAAGUCAGAAGGUAAGGGUGAAAAGGCGGGGUAAGAGCCCACCGCUCCAUCGGCAACGAGGGAGGCACGAUAAACCUCAUCAGGAGCAAAAUCAAGCAGCAGACCGGGUUUCUCGCCUAAAGUCUGCGGGUAGAUUGCUAAAGUUCAGGGGCAACCCUGGAAUAAGAUAGAUGGCAGUCCUAAGACAGAACCCGGCUUACAGACCUGUUUUUAUU
Molecule: RNase P RNA, 354 nt
Filed under: Oceanispirochaeta crateris
Lineage: Bacteria; Pseudomonadati; Spirochaetota; Spirochaetia; Spirochaetales; Spirochaetaceae
Description: Bacterial RNase P class A
Rfam family: Bacterial RNase P class A
About the family: Ribonuclease P (RNase P) is a ubiquitous endoribonuclease, found in archaea, bacteria and eukarya as well as chloroplasts and mitochondria.
Source: Rfam by way of RNAcentral